Molecule: non-coding RNA, 150 nt
Filed under: Izhakiella sp.
Lineage: Bacteria; Pseudomonadati; Pseudomonadota; Gammaproteobacteria; Enterobacterales; Erwiniaceae
Description: FMN sequence
Rfam family: FMN riboswitch aptamer (RFN element)
About the family: The RFN element is a highly conserved domain that is found frequently in the 5'-untranslated regions of prokaryotic mRNAs that encode for flavin mononucleotide (FMN) biosynthesis and transport proteins. This element is a metabolite-dependent riboswitch that directly binds FMN in the absence of proteins.
Source: RNAcentral
GCUUAUUCUCAGGGCGGGGUGCAAUUCCCCACCGGCGGUAAAUCAGCCCAGGCUGAAAGCCCGCGAGCGCUUCAGGCGACAGCCUGAAGGUCAGCAGAUCCGGUGUAAUUCCGGGGCCGACGGUUAAAGUCCGGAUGGGAGAGAGUAACG